This is a non-coding RNA of Mus caroli (Ryukyu mouse), 2312 nucleotides long. The record is from RefSeq and is a predicted model, not a curated record. NCBI's taxonomy places the organism in Eukaryota, Metazoa, Chordata, Mammalia, Rodentia, Muridae.
GCUCCGUGGCGCAUCCGCGUAGGGGUGCAGCUGAGGACACCGGAGAUCAGCUGAGGGUGCCUACUGCGACCUUGUCACUCUGGCCGCGCGCUCAGCCUUCGGCCAGCUCCUGCCCAGGACCCACAUGCUCCCCUCAUCCUCCCUGCGACCUGGGCGCUGGUUCUCCACAGUGACCGUACAGUUCCUGGCCGCCGCUGAUUUCGACCUCGCGUCCCUCCAAGGCCCAUUCGUGUGGGAGACCAACCCUGGCAGCCAGACCCGAGCCGGCGGGGAACAGCGCGCCCAAGCUGAGGGAGAUCUAGACUGACCAUGACCAUGAGCCACGCUGGAAGAUCCAGGUUCCGUAACUACUUCUUUGAUGCCUUGUUUCUGCUGCUAUAACAAAACAUGAAGUUGGGUGCUUUAUGAAGAAAAGAGGUUUGUUUGACUUACAAUUUUGAAGGCUGAAAAGCAUGGCACUAGUCCCUGGUAAGUCUCCAUGGUGUGUGACAACACAGCAGAGAAGCCAAGAAGAGAACCCACCUUCUGUAUACAGAAGGAUCAAUCACAAGCUAUAGUCUCCCUUAAAGCAACAGCUCCCAUGAAGUUUCAUGCUACAGACCAGCAUUUGUCACUUCCUAGUGUGGAAUCCCCAUGCCUAACCUUGCUCUAAACUCUAGAAGUUCUAAUAGCAGGGGCCAGCUCUCAGGUGGGUUCACUGGUCCCAAAGAAUGUGGCCAGAGAAAUCACCAUGCAGACAGGGAGACAGAGGAGAGGAGGUAGAAAGAGAGAGUGUACACACAGAGAAAUGGAAAGAGAGAGAGAGAGAGAGAAAGAUAACAAAAUGUCUGUAUUAUGUAGAAAGAAUCUCUUGUGUACUGUGUGAAAGCAUCAGGUGAUAAGAGAGCUGAUCAGACAAUUAGCUGGAGAGAAGAGAUAGGGCAGAACUUCUAAUCCCAGUGAAGAGGUCCAAAGGGAGACCAGAACACCGUGGAGGACCACAAGGAGAAGAAGGUUUGGAGAGACCAGGCGCAUUCACUGAGAUGGCUGUGAGAAAGUAGCCAUGAGGACACACAUGAGCCAGAACAAACCAGGGGGAGACGCAGAUGCAGGUAAAGGACCAUUUUGCUGGGCAGUAGCAGCCUAGUUGGGUUAUAAUAGUUUGGAAUCUGCCCAGCUAUAAGUGAUUGCAGCUCUUUCAUUAACCAACCAGAGGUGAUGGAAAGCAAUUUUUAUAUAAUGAAAACAGAGCUUCUUGACCAUGCUGUCAUCUAGACUGUAACCAGAUGUCUGGACAUAGAAAUCAGCAUCUGAAUGCCCAGUGCACAGAACCAUCCUCCAUCAGGAUUGUAUAGGAAAGAACCUCUUAGGAGGGGAAGCCCAGCCUUAGCCUUCCACACCUGUGUUCACUUUAACGAAACAUUCCUUCACGUGUUUGCUGCAGCAAAACACCAUCCAUCGGACUUUCGAAAGAACCUUUAAGUUCCCACCUCACCCUUUGCCCCGUUAACCUUUCUUUCCCACUACCUCAGGUGGGUGGUGGGCUAGAAGGAAGAUUGGAACAUUGAAGAAACCUUAUUAAAGUAGAUUUUGAAAAAUCUAAUCCAAGAAGGGUGGGGUUGGUCGCAGAGAUGGUUUGGUCCUCAGAAUGUUUGCCAAUAUCUAGGGCAUUCAGGUCUGUUAUGGGGUCUCUGGGGGACUGGUAUUGGGGCCACCUGCUUAGAGAGACUACCCAUUGUGUGAUGUUUUGGGGGGUAGGGAGAUGAGGGUGUGGUGUCAGAGGUUUGCCUUUCUACACUCAAUCAGGAAGCUGCCCUUUCGAGCUAUUGCCUGUGCCUGUCUGGCUGCGGGAUGUGAUGUGUGAGUCUAUGAAGCAUGCAUCUAUGGGACUCCAGGGAACCCUGAGAAUGGGCCCUUCCUGAGAAACCUGGCAGCCUCCCACACUCACUGCGGCUUCUACCUCAUUAGGCUGGGAAGGAAUAAGACCACUACCACAAUUUUAAAUCAAAUUUGAAUGAAGCAAGCUGGAUUUUAUUGGGGUGCAUUGAAGAGCUGGGUAGCAACUGCCUCCUAAGUUGGGCAAAGAUAACAGUCCCAAAUCCAUUUCCUGGGACCCUUUUAAGGAAUAAAAUCACAAGUAGUUGCAAAGUAGGUUUACAAAAGAGAGAGAUGGAAUAAAGGAAACACAGAAAAAUCUCAAAAAAACAAAGACAAAAAACCCAAACAACAAACACCACACCACCACAUGAACAGGGAGGGUCUCAGAGGAUCAUGGUGUUCUCAAAAUCAAGUCAGGGUCGUGGGUUCAGGCAGGUCAGGCUCCAGGAAACAGA